Molecule: long non-coding RNA, 15192 nt
Filed under: Podarcis lilfordi (Lilford's wall lizard)
Lineage: Eukaryota; Metazoa; Chordata; Lepidosauria; Squamata; Lacertidae
Source: RNAcentral
CUACUGUCCCCAUAAUAGCGCAUCUCUGCAUCUCCUGCCGAUAGGCCGCUCGUUGCGUGUUUGAGGGAGCAGCCGGUGAAGGCGCGCUAUUGACAGCUUGCUUGCCCUUACUGCUGUCGAGGAAAUAAUUUUGAAAUAGAAAACGGGAGCUGGAAGAGCAGCUGCUGAAGGAGUUAUCAAGAGUCACCGCAGUUGAAAAUUUGUCAGAAUGAAACCGUUCAGAUGAAAACGUUCAGGCGCUGGGAAACCAAGUGCAACGUUAUUCUGCUUUAAAAGUGCUUCUGCCUUAGCGAAGAGACGCGGAGGAAAGAGAUGGGCACUGGCUCCACAGCUGCUGUAACGCUCACCUGAAUGCAUUAAAUCCAGGGCCAACCUACCAUGUGCUAAAUGACGGAUGGGCAGAAGGUAGAUUGGGAUCUACUGGUAGAUCUCUGGCUGAUUUGCAAUAGGUUGUUUAAGGUUAGCAACGACAAAAUUGCGUUUUCCCUUCUAAAUCGUUGCUGAAAUGAAGAGGGUUAACUAGGGUUUUAUUUUGGGGUGAACUGACAGAGCUGAGUUCACUUCUGGUACUGAAAACCAAUUAUCGGGCUCAGAAUGUGCUCACAGACACCCUGUUUUUUAACACUAUGUAUCUUUUGUGCUUGGCCCAGGUUGGUAGAUAUUGGAGUUUGGAACUAACUGAGUAGAUCCAAGACAGCUAAACUCUGUCUGUCUCUGAACUAAAUAAUAUACAAAGCAGACAUUGGGAAGCUAGUGGCCGUUUCCUAAAUAUGUUUACUUGAAGGUCCCAUUGUGGUCUUACGGGACUUACACACUAAUAAAUGUGUUUUGCAUUGUUUCAAACUACAACUUUUUAAAUCUUGGAUUCUAGUUUACGUUCAUCCAUAGUCAUAAGACCUGUGUUAUGAGAAGACGUGCACUCAAAUUCUCUUUUUUGUAAGUUCCAAUGCAGGUUCUAACAUAGAGAAAAGCAGUUGCUCCAAAUAAUAGCCCAAUCCUAUAUGGAUUUAGGUAUACCUGAUUCCAUUGAAAUUAAUAGGUUUACAGUGCAUAUGUCUCAUAUAUCCUAUAUCCAUAAGUAUAUACAAAAUUGCAGCUUUAAGUGCUGGUAACAUUGCAGAGAAAUAGGAAAUAAGAAUAUAGUAUAUACCUAUGGCUGUUCCUUUUCAAAAUAUGAAUACACUUUUGCACAGAAUAUUGCUUUGCAUUCAGAACUUCACAAGUGCUCUUCCAAGAACCAUACAAAUUAAAAUUAGAAGGAACAACCCAUUAUUCAUGGUCCCAUUUGUUUUUCUGGACAUUUCAAACAUCAUAGUAUUGGUGUUGCAAUUAUAAGAUAGUGCUCAACAUGGCUGACAGUACAUAAACAAAGAACAAAAUCCUUCAGCAAUAAACACCAAUACAUAUCAAUACUGCAAUCACAAUAUUAACCAUUUGGUUAAUAAGCUACAUUGCAAGUCAGCCAAACCUGACCAUCGCCAUCAAAUUUAACUGUUGUGUCCAUAUUUGCAACCUUUUUUUCCUUUUUUGUAAUUUAGUGUUUCAUUGAUUUUUCAGAGUCAAUAAUACAGAAACAUUAAAUAAAACUCUCUCUACAAAUAAAUAACAAUUACAUUCACCCUCUCCAGUGCCUCACUUUUAUUUUCAUUCACAGCAUCAAAUUAAAUAUAUAGAAAGCAAUUUCCUCUGAGAUAAUUAAUACAAAAAUAUCGUAAGACCCAUUGAACUCUCUUGCUGCUCAACAAAAAUCCACAGCAUUUCACUGUAUGUUAUUCUGUCUAUGAUUGCAGUCCUAACCCCACUUAUGUGGGUGUAAACCCCAUUGAAUUAAAUAUGACUUACCUCUGAGUAGACAUGGUUAGGUUUGCAUAGUAUGUAAUCCUUAUAAAACAAAAUUACAGCUGCUAUCUGAACCACUUCUCUCUCCCUGUUACAGAGUUCAGUGGGACCUAUUCUCAAGUAAGUGCACAUAGAACGAGACAGCAAUCCAUGACAUAGAUUUCAUUGAACUGGACUUUUAAGUGGCUAUAAGUAUUAUUUGUUCCAGGUUUGACUAGAAUUAACUUCCUGAGAGAGGUUAGAUACUAUUUUUAGUGCAUGAAAUAUUUAUUGCACAUGUGUAUGAUAACCGGUAUACUAAUUCGGGUCUAUGUAUGUAGUAAGCCUAUGGGCCGGGGAUUAUAUCACUUCAUUCUGUAGUUCCUUUAGUAGAGAUGAGCUAAAGUUUGGAAUCAGAAUCUACCGUCAACAUUUGACUUUUAGUUAAAUGACUGAUGGAAGUUAAUACAACAUUUGUUCAUUUCUGUUGAAACCAUCAGACACUGUCAAAUGUAAACUGCUAUUGUAUGCAACCUGUCAGAUGUUGAAUACUAUAUACUAUAUGUCAGAUACAGAAUUAUCAUCAUUAUUGUAUUUUCUACGUUUAUUUAUAAAAACAGCAUAUUACAACAAACCAAUUUAAAAUACUACCCCUAAAAUGCAAACUAAACUAAAAGAAUAGAUACAGCAGUUAAAAACAGCAGCAUAAUCUGUUCUAGAAUUCAAGUCAUAAGAAGCCCCAUCUUUGCUGUUCCCCUAAAAUCACCCAGAUAUAGUGUGCUCAGGGAGUCAUUCCAUGUGCAAAGGCACUCUUGUAUACAACUAAGGCUAGGUCUAAGGCCAGUCCAGAGCAUCCCCAAGCUGUGACCCUGCAUUUUCAGAAGGUGUGCAACCCCUCCCAACAUUAGUCAUCCAAACUGGAAUACUUCCUGCUGCCAGAAGGAACCCCUAUACUGCUUGGAUUGUUUCAGUUUGUUAGGUCUCAUCUGAUCUGGUCUAGGGCAGCCUGCACACCAUAAAAUUUAGGCACAUUUAAAAGCACAUGACUUCUAGUAAAGAAUCCUAAGAAUUAUAGUUUGUUAACAGUAGUGGGAAUUGUAAUUCCAUGAGAUGUAAACUACAUUUCCCAGUAGUAUUUGGGUGAAGAAGUCAUGUGCUUUAGAUGUAAAGUGUGUACUUAGUCUACACCCUUCUUGGGAUAAGUGUUAUGAGCAUAUGAGGCUGGUAUCCAGAUUGAAGUAGAUAAUAAAUUCAGUUUUCUGAAGGAAAACCUGGAGCCAAGAUGCCAUCACCCACUGCAACACCUUACCUAAGAAAAGAUGAAGACUGAGCAGAAAAGUAGACCAGAAACAAGAGGAAAGAAUGAAGUAUGAGUGAAAGAAUCAAAGAGAUGAGUGCAAAAUGGGAAGGAGCACAAAAUUUUUUGUUCUGGAAAAAAUCACUACAACAGAACAUGGAAGAAGAAUCCAAAAUAAAGCAAAAACAAUAGCAUAAAGGCCAUACAUUGGACUAGAGGUGUAAUCAGAUUAACAGGUGUUAAGUUAAAUAGAUAUUAUCAAAGGAGUUAUCAAAAGAGGAAGAUUAAAUUAUUUUGGGAAGGAGAGCAUGCAACCAUUUGUCUCCCAAAUCUAGACACUCCCACUGUUCUAAAUGUUCAUACAGAUUGCACAUUUUCUGAGAUGCAGUAGAGUACUUUUUCUAGCUGCACAAUUUCCAGCAUCACUGGCCUGAGAAGAGACUCCUGCCUAAAAUUCUCAAGAGUCACUGCUCGUCAGUGUAGACAGUACUGAGCUAAAUUAACCAAUGGUCUGACUUAGUAUAAGGCAGCUUCCUGUGUUCCUAGGGCUUUUAUACUCUCAGGAAGUAGAUCAAAGAUGCCCAGGGAUUUCAAGUUUAUGCCUAAAAAUGUAAGGUGUGUGGCUCCAUCAAACAGGCAUUUGAAAACACAUAAUACAGGUGCACUUGUCGGAUAAAUACCUAAGUUUCACUAUGACUCCUUAUUGAGGCUACACCCAGUAGCAAACAUAUUUCCCAUAAGUUUGCAGAAGGCUGUAUUUCACAGAACACUUUACCUUUAGAGAAAAACCUGUUGAUUAACGCUCAUGAAGCUGGUUCAGCAUUAAGAGAAGACGGCAACUCGUUUUCUUCUGGUGGCAGAUGACUUUGUUUCAUUUAGUUUUUCUUCUGUUACAACCACCUUGCCUUCUUCAAACAUGUGUUUUAUCACCAGAUUCCAUUCUGAUGUCACAAAGCAGCCAGAUAUUCUCUUGUAAGCAUAUUUCUUUCUUUGGUUUUCACAAGAAGCCUUUGAAAAUUAAGAUACUGCAGGAUAGGUUGUAUAGAUCCCAAAAGACACAUUAGUGCACAAUGAAUUUUUAAAGGAUUAUGCUGGAGAUGAUAUUUUUUUUUGUAAACUUUGGGCACUGAAGUGUUCCAGGUGGAUUUCCCCACUAAUGCCACACAUGCAUUUAACAAUGAGGGAAAGGGGGAAGAGAACAGGAGAAUAUCCCAGUGGGUGCAUAUCAUAAAGCCCUGUAUUCAGAGCACACUUUUGCUAGCUGUUCUUUUGUGAUACAGAUUCAUGAAUAUCAAAGGAUAGAGAGGUUUGUCCUGAACUCAAAGCCAACUGGUAAAAUGUCUUUCUUUCUUUCUUUUUGUGUUGAGCCUACAAAACAGGAAACAGAUUCUGCCACAUGCUCUACUAUUCUUAAAUGGCAUUCCCCUGAAAACAAAGAGCAAGAAAAGGUCAAAUAAACUUCAGAUUUGCUGGACAGUAUAUUUCAGCCUGAAAGACUCAUCCAGCAUAGGCAUUAGGUUUGUCCUGUCCCAUACCUUGUGCUACAAACAAGCUGAGGUCAUUUGUUCAGGAUAUUUUUCUCAAUAAGAAGUCCAGGCCAGUGCACAAAUAUAAUAUAUGCUGUGGAGACGUGACUCAGCCAAGGAUCCUGUAUUCAGUAGGCAAGUGGAAGCCAAGACAGAGCCUUUUGCUUGAGAGGAACAUUGCAGAGAAUGAAGGGUCCGAUGAGAUUAGAUUCAGGGAGGUAGCCACGUUGGUCUGACGCAGUCGAAAUAAAUAAAUAAAAGUCCAGUAGCACCUUAGAGACAAACUAAGUUUGUUCUGGGUAUAAGCUUUUGUGUGUAUCUGAAGAAGUGUGCAUGCACACGAAAUCUUAUUCCCAGAACAAACUUAGUUGGUCUCUAAGGUGCUACUGGACUACGUUUUUAUUCCAGUCCCAUGAGAUGUGAGCUGACAAUAAGGCCAGAACACAACUCAUGUGACUAUGAGCUCAAAGCAAAGUUUGACCCAGAAGAAUAGUCAACUGUUAUGCACCAGGUCUCACCAAUCUUUUUGGGCCCAUGAGCACAAAUACUAAGAUUACAGUCCUAAAUUUAACUAAUCACACUGAAUACAACAGGUUUUAGGGGUGACCCACAAGACACUGAUCUACUAUGAAGGACAAUGUAACUCCCAAAGUGGAUUUCUACAGCAGAAGGGAAAUGGCCAGAUAGGUUUAUCAUCAAAGAACCAAGGAGAGCUUAAACUGAAAUGUACCAAUGCUUACCUUAUGUAACAUCUUUAUUGUGAAUAUGGCUAUUGUCCAUAGAAUGAGGUUUCUCCCAGUGCAGGCAGCAUUCCCUAUGUUUGUUUUAAAAUACAAGGUUCCAAGUUACUGUAUUUUUCGCCCCAUAGGGUGCACCGGGCCAUAGGGCGCACCUAGUUUUUUUGGGGGGAAAUAAAGAAAAAAAUAUAUUUCCCCCGCAGGUGCGGGGCUGGGGCGGGGGAAGCCCGAGCUUCCCCCGAUCCCAGCCCCCAGAACAGGUUGCUAUCCGCAAGCCGUGGGACAGCUGCGCGACUUCGCACAGCUCUCCCACGGCUUGCGGAGAGAGCGAAGUCGCACAGCUCUCCCACGGCUUGCGGAGAGCUUCCCGAAGCCUGGAGAGCGAGAGGGGUCGGUGCGCACCGACCCCCCUCGCUCUCCAGGCUUCAGCGAAAGCCUGCAUUCGCCCCAUAGGACGCACACACAUUUCCCCUUCAUUUUUGGAGGGGAAAAAGUGCGUCCUACAGGGCGAAAAAUACGGUAUUUUUUCCUGUAACUUGUUUUAGCAGUUCUGCAAUAUACUGAAAUAACACUUUCCCCUGAUAUGUCAUAUGCCAAUUUGACCCACAGGUUAACUAUAAAAUACACCAUUAAAACUUCCUUUUAUUACUUUGCACAUUGUUGGUUUUGAAUCUGCCUUAUGUUCUUGAUUAAUGCAAAGGUUAAACGAAGGAAAAGAACUCAAUUUGUCUUUCCAGUGCUAUUCAUUUAUUAUCUGCCAUGCCUGCUCCUCUUGAUGUCCCUUCUGAAUUAAUUAGUUUGCAUCUUUUCAGCCUCUUAGCAUAUAAAAAUGACCUAAGACUUUCAUUCAUUUUUCUAUUCUCUAGAUGUUUUCUAUUUCUGUUACCGGUAUGUUCUCUUGAGGAGCUUGGAUGAGAGAACUUGAACAUGUCUGGGUAGGUUUAAAACUGAUUUACAGAACAAUUAUUCCUCUUAUUUUUAGGACUGCCAUAGUUUGCAGUGCUUACUUCUAUGCUAGAGGCUUUCAACAAUCACGCUUUGUCUGCACUGGUUCGUUAAGAACCGUGCAAGAUCAUUGGAAAAUAUUGUUUAUUUUAAUGCAAUAAGAACUUAAGAAGAGUCUGCUGGAUCAGGCCUGUGGCCCACCAAGUCCAACAUCCUGUUCUCACAGUGAACGACCAGAUGCCCAUGAGAAGCCCACAAGCAGGAUCUGAGCGCAAUGUCUAUCCCAUUUUAAAACCAUGCUUGCCCACAACCCUUGUGCUUAAAACUAACUAGACCAUAGAUCUCAUUCUCGUUGCUAUGCACACCUGGCUUUUACAUCAAAUGCAUGGUGUCACCUUCCUCCAUUUCACUCUAUAUACAGUACCUCCAACAUAAUUUCAUCCCCAUCCUUGAACUGUUCUCGGUUUCAUCCCAUAUUCCUCUCUUUGCCACUUCAUCGCCACAACAACAUGGGAAGAUUCUGCUAAUUUAGGCCAAUGACCCAUCUAGGGCAGCAUCCUGUUCUCAAAGUGGCUAAACAAAAAACAUUAAGCAGGACCUAACCGAUCAGAAGGUCAGCGGUUUGAAUCCCCGUGACGGGGUGAGCUCCCGUUGCUCGGUCCCUGCUCCUGCCAACCUAGCAGUUCGAAAGCACGUCAAAGUACAAGUAGAUAAAUAGGUAUCGCUCCAGCGGGAAGGUAAACGGUGUUUCCGUGUGCUGCUCUGGUUCGCCAGAAGCGGCUUAGUCAUCCUGGCCACAUGACCCGGAAGCUGUACGCCGGCUCCCUCGGGCAAUAAAGCGAGAUGAGCGCUGCAACCCCAGAGUCGGCCACGACUGGACCUAAUGGUAUAACAGCACUCUCCUCGCAUGUGAUUCCCAGCAACUGGCAUUCGGAGGUUUUACAGCCUCUGACACUCGUAGAACGUAGCCGUCAUGGUGAGUAGGCAUUGAUAACCUCCAUGAAUUUGUCUAACCCUCUUUCAAAGCAAUUCAAGUUGGUGGCUAUCACUACCUCUCGUGGGAGCAAAUUCCAUAGUUUAACAAUGUGCUUUGUGUUAAGUUCUUCAUUUUGUCCAAUUUAAGGAAACUGGGAUGCAGCAGUCAUGCUCCUGUAGAUUUAUGCCUGCUUUUGGCAAAGUCCUUGGGAUUGCAAUUAAUUUGGGGGGGGGGAGAAACCCUGAGCCUCGACUGCUUACAAACCUUUAAGACAUGUGCCCCCUUAAGUAGGUCUAGCCUAUAGUUUGAGAUAAAGCUGUUUUAAUAUGCAAUACCUGGAACCUGCCUACAAGGAAUUACACGGGGGGGGUGUCUAUUGGGUUGUUGUUUUUAUUUUUAGAAUGUAUUUUGUGGUUUUAGAUCUUGAUUUUAUUCUGUGAACCGCCCUGAGACCCCCAGGUAUAGGGCGGUAUAUUAAUAAUAAUAAUAAUAAUAAUAAUAAUAAUAAUAAUAAUUUGUGGUGUAGAUGAGUUGCAGAUAAGUAUUUAUAUUAUGUAUUUGUAAUAUAGGAAUCUUCUUUACAGUGGUACCUCGGGUUAAGUACUUAAUUCGUUCCAGAGGUCCGUACUUAACCUGAAACUGUUCUUAACCUGAAGUAGCACUUUAGCUAAUGGGGCCUCCUGCUGCCGCCGCGCCGCCGGAGUAUGAUUUCUGUUCUCAACCUGAAGCAAAGUUCUUAACCUGAAGCACUAUUUCUGGGUUAGCGGAGUGUGUAACCUGAAGCGUCUGUAACCUGAAGCAUAUGUAACCUGAGGUACCACUGUAUAUUAAGUUCUACCAUUGGUCUAUCUAGCUCAGUACUGUCUGCACUGACUGGCUAAGGCUCUCCAAAAUUUCAGACAGGGUUCUCUCCUAGCCCUACCCAUAAUUUUUUUUAAUGGGACUUAAGUGUGUAUAACUACACACAGUUAUUCCAACUGUGCAAUCCCCACUCAUUUAAAUGGGGCUUUGCAUAAGAAACCUUCUAAAUGGAUUGUAUACCCUUCAUAUUUUAGCUGUUUCACAGUGCAUUCCUGUAGUUUAUCUACUUAAAACUCAUUGAGUCCCAUUGAGUCCCAGCUAAGUAUGGACAGGACUGUAGCCUUACGGCAUAUAUUUUCAAUUAAAUGUUGAUUAUAUUAGCCUUUGGCAAUGGUGAAAAAAUGUGGGGUGUAAAUAAAUACACCUAGAAUCACAUAAUAAAGCAUUAAUCUACCAGAUUGCUAGAGGUUAAAGAAAUAAAUGAGUUAAAGUGAUGAGUAAAACAAUAUUUUAUAUAAAUUAUUACUGGUAAGAAAUAUGAAAAUGUGCUCAUCCACAAGUCACCUGAAACCUCAAAAGCAUAAUCUAAAAAGCGUUAGCAUUGGAAAUUGCCCUUGCAAAUACUACAAAGCAAAUGUAAUUAACUUUCUUUCUAAGGUGGAAUUGGUUCUAUGACUUUUGGAGCAUGGUGGAUAAAUGAAAAGGAUGCUCUGCAUCUGAUGGAACAAAUGAAUGCACUCAUUGAUGGAGUCGUGGCGGCAGGUUCAGUAUAUUUUGAAUGAAAGCUAAGUUUCCAUGGUUAGAAGCAGGACUAGAAACUGAGGCAAGCAAAAUGCACAACUGGCGAAGGACCAUAGGACGAGAAUAUACAAUUGCACUGUGUUGCAUAGGAAAGUUCCUUGUACUGAGUCAGACCAUUGGUCCAUCUAGGUCAGUAUCAUCUAUAAUGACUGGCAGCAGUUUUACAGGGUUUCAGGUAGGGUCUCUCAGAGCACUUUCUGGAGAUAUUGGGGAUUGAACCUGGGUCCUUCUGCAUGUCAAGCAGAUGUUCUUCCGCUCAACAACAACCCUUCCCUCACAGAGUGAUGGGCUUUCCCCAAAAGGCCAAUGGUCAAAGCUUAACUUUGUUGUCGUUUAGUCAUGUUCGACUCUUCGUGACCCCAUGGACCAGAGCAUGCCAGGCACUCCUGUCUUCCACUGCCUCCCACAGUUUGGUCAAACUUAUUUUAGUAGCUUCAAGAACACUGUCCAACCAUCUCGUCCUCUGUCGUCCCCUUCUCCUUGUGCCCUCAAUCUUUCCCAACAUCAGGGUCUUUUCCAGGGAGUCUCUCUUCUAUGAGGUUGCCAAAGUAUUGGAGCCUCAAAGCUUAACUAAUAAUCAGUAUGGUAAUUCCAGUCUGCACUUCAGCUAACCCCCCCAACAUAUUAUUAUUAUUAUUAUUAUUAUUAUUAUUAUUAUUAUUAUCCCACCCUUCACCCUAAGGUCCCAGGGUGGGUUACAAUAAUUUUAAACAGUUUAAAAACUUACAAUGAAAAAAUGAAUUGCUUCACCCAGCCAGUUGCAGCCCUUCCUUGAAACCUGCCCUGCUAGCAGGAGAGGAAGACAGACUCUGCAAGUGAAUCUGUGUGAAAGGGCAGCCUGGUUUUUUGCCAACAUGUCUAUUAUUCAUACGGAGGAGGACCCCAGCUUGCUGUUCAACAUAGCAAUGCCCAUCUCUCUCUCUUUCUCCCUCUCUUGCAAGUAGAUCUGCUCACAGUUACUGUUCCCCAUAACGCCUCUAGAGGGAAGUAAGCACCUCUGUAACAGUGUUCACUAUCUUGAGGAGCAGAACAUCACCCUAGAUAUAGCCCUAAUGAAGGGUAUUACCAGGAUAAAACUCCAUAGUUGGGCAAUGGCUAUACUGUACUUGUACCAGUCAGAACAUCACCAAAAUGUGUUAAGUUUUCAAAUUCUCCAGACUCUUCUUAAGACAAGAUGUUGCAUCAAGGGUGGGGAACCUCUCACCCGCCAGAUGUUUCUGAACUAAAAUUCCCAUCAGCCUAAUGGCAGAUAAGGUUAUCAGUAGCUACUAGCCACAAUGGCUGUGUGCUACCUCUUAGUUGACGGCAAUAGGCCUCUAAACACCAGUUGCUGGGAAGCACAACCAGUGAGAGUGAGGUUGUGAGAACCAGAUGCUAGAGUAGAUGGACUUUGGUCUGAUCAGGGCUGGCCUUCCCAUAAAACAGAGUGAAGCACCCACCCCAGGCAGUGGAAGUGCAAGAGGUGGCACUCUGCCCAUCCCACCGCUGCUGCCACUGUCAAGACAGUGGCUGUUCUGGAGCGUGGUGCUGCCACUUGUCUUCCCUGCCCCCUAGCUCUUACCGAGUUCAGUGCAGAAUGCCCUGGCUCUUACUGAGUUGGGUGAGAGCCAGGGCAUUCCGGGGACAGAAGUGGAGUGGGGAGAGACAGCAAUUCUCCCCUGCCCCUGAGACUGAUCCAGCAGGGUUCUUAUGAAUGUUAUGACAUGGAACUCCAAUGAUGGCUCUAGGAAUGGAAUAACAGGCCCUGUCUAGUGGCCCCAUUUCAGUCCCAGGGCUGCCACUGCAGCCCCAGGGGCCAUCAUUUUACUCUCAGGUCUGAAAUUUGACUAACAUGGAUCAUGAUGUCAGUCUCUCAAGCUCUCACUCUCUCAAGCUCUGCCACUGCUACUCCUCAUCAUUUCCUCCUAUCUCUGGGCUCUAUCAUAUUGACCCAUUCCAUACCUUCCCAGGAGCCAUUUUUUGCUUUAUUUAUAGCUUGCAUUUAUUUCAAUGAAGCCCAGUGAUGUAAAUUGGCAUUUGCAGUUCUCACUACAGUGGUACCUCGGGUUACAUACGCUUCAGGUUACAGACUCCGCUAACCAAGAAAUAGUGCCUUGGGUUAAGAACUUUGCUUCAGGAUGAGAACAGAAAUCGUGUGGCGGCGCAGCCGCAGCAAGAGGCCCCAUUAGCUAAAGUGGUCCUUCAGGUUAAGAACAGUUUCAGGUUAAGAACGGACCUCCGGAAUGAAUUAAGUACGUAACCCGAGGUACCUUCAGAUAACUUCCAGUAUUUCUUUUCCUCCUUUUGGUUUGUGUUUUUAUUUACCGGUAGAUUAGGUUUUUUAAAAAAAUAAAUAAAUUGAUAAACAGAUAUUAACCUAUGUAUAAUUUCUUUCAAACUUUAAUAAAAUUUAUUGGGCGGAAACAAACUUCCAGCAUUUCAAAUGUGCAUUUUUGUCAAUCAUUUUACAGCAUCCAUACAACUUCUCUGCAGGAGGAUACUUCAAUGAUUAUCUUUAUUUGGAACAGGUGAUUUAAAUUUCCUCUCUUGAAUGACACUUUAUAGUUUCACAUAUAGUUAUUUGAAAUGAUUUACAGAAAUGAAAAUGUGGCUGAAUUCUAGCUUGUAAAUUACCACUGACUCUGAACCUGCAAUUGUUAAAUACAAUUACUUGGGAACAAUUCACAAUGAAAUCAUUGGAACUUACUUCUGCGUAAACGUGCAUAAAACCAGACAGUGAUAGCUCAAAAUUCACCAGCUGCAUUUUCUGGCAUUUUUUAAACAGCUUAACAGACAGGGAGAUAAUUUGUGUUUAAUGACCUUCACAUCCUCCAAUGCCUGUAAUUGAUAAUGUCUUGAAUACUGACUCAUAUUGUAGUUGACAGGCAUAUAAAAGCUGCUGUCAGAGUAAAAUGUAUAUCUGUUAUGACAAAGGAAGGAUCCUUUUAGUGAUUAUCACAGCAGCCAUCCUCUUUUGGAUGCUAUCUCACCUAAGCUGUGCUUCGUAUAGCCCCUUGCUGCAGGACCACUGGUCAAAGGAAUAUUUACGUACAUAGUAUUUUUUUCCUUAAGGGCAAGUAUUAAAUGUGCUGGGACAAUGUACCCUGAAGCAGAUAAGGAGCAUAAGUAGCUUAAAACUUGGUGGAUAUGGUAUUUGUUUGCUGGGCAGCAAUUAUGCACUGAACAUUCACACUUUGGGAUUAUUAGAAUGUUGUCCCACAGCACAAGUACCAGAGCAACUGUUUCCAUUAAUCCCUUUCUGCUUCUCACUGUUACUUAAGGAAGCACACAGUGUGUGGCGUGCAGCAUGCUUGUAGGAGAAUCAUUUCAUUUCAUUUAUUUAAGUAAUUUAUAUACAACCACUUCAUCAACAGAAUAAACAUCUGAGUGGUUAGGAGCGUUCUACAAAUAUAACUAAAAGCCAAAUACAAUAAAAACUCCACAUUUUAGAGCCACAAAGAACUAUUAGGUAAGAUAUCCUAUUAAAGAUCCAUAUUAACAUAUGGGACCAUAAUAACUACUAAAGGUGAAAGGUAAAGGACCCCUGACAGCUAAGUCCAGUCGCGAAAACUCUGGGAUUGCGGCGCUCAUCUCGCUUUACAGUCAUACCUCGGGUUAAAUAUGCUUCAGGUUGAGCGUUUUCAGGUUAUGCUCUGUGGUGACCUGGAAGUAAUGGAACGUGUUACUUCCGGGUUUCGCCGCUUGCGCAGGCGCUCAAAAUGACGUCACGCGCAGGCGCGGAAGCGGCGAAACACAACGCGCGCAGUCGCAUGUUACAUUCUACUCAGGAUGCGAAUGGGGACAAGGGAGCCGAUGUACUGUACUGUACUGGCCAAGGGAGCCGAUGUUUGUCCGCAGACAGUUUUUCCAGGUCAUGUGGCCAGCAUGACUAAGUCACUUCUGGCGAACCAGAGCAGCGCAUGGAAACGUUGUUUACCUUCCCGCUGGGGCGGUACCUAUUUAUCUACUUGCACUUUGACGUGCUUUUGAACUGCUAGGUUGGCAGGAGCAGGGACUGAACAACGGGAGCUCACCUGUCGCGGGGAUUCGAACCGCCAACCUUCUGAUCGGCAAGCCUAAGGCUCAGUAAUUUACACCACAGCGCCACCCACGUCCCCCGUAACAGCAUGUCCAAAAUACAGAAAAACAAGAGAUAAACAGCCUACCUACAAAAUAUACAUAUAGAAUGUAUUUAUUGGUGGUUGCAGUAUUCUCACUUCUGCUGCUGCCUCCCCAAAUUAAGCUCACAUUAAAAGGUGGGGCAAAAUAACAUAGUACUCACCCUUGGAGCUCUCAGUUGUCAUCAGGUAGGAUGGUAGGACCCAUAAUCAUUCCCUCCCUAAUCUCUAAAAUAUAUAAACUGUUAUUGGAGUGGGAGUGUAAAGACAAGAUGGUUAAGAUGACAGUGAUUAAAUGGGCUAUAGAUAUUGGUUACAAUAUAAAAAUGCUUGGGAGAAACUAUGGGGGGAAACCAUGAAUUUCUCAGCAUGUUAUCUUAUUAAGGAAAACCUACAGAAAAUGUACUGGUGGUACCGGACACCUAGCAAAUUGGUGAAAAUGUAUAGGAAAGGGUCCACAUAUGCAUCAGGGUUGAAGGAACCCUGAUGCAUAUGUGGUGGUUGUGUAAAUACACUAGAGAGUUCUGGGAAAUGAUCCAUAUAGAAUUAAAAAAUAUAUUUAAACUCACAUUUCCUAAAAGACCAGACGCCUUUCUACUAGGGAUAAUAAGUGAUGACUUACCAAAGAAGGCACUCAACCUCUUUUUAUAUGUGACCACUGCAGCUAUAAUAGCCUGUGCAAAAAAAUGGAAAGAAAAAGAUGUACCUGCAAAAGCAAUCAGGCAGAAUAAAUUGAUAGACCAAACAGAAUUAGCAACUAUUAACACAAAAAUAAGAAAUAAAAUGAGACACAGUUAAGAAAAGAGUGGAAGUGUUUUGGAGACGAUCUUAGAAGGAUAUUCAAUUCAACCUGCAAGUGGGAGUAAAUAUAUAAGCAGCAGAUAAUAUCAAAUAAAGGAAGAUUUGAGAUAAAAAUGGGUGGGAGAUCAGGAUAUGCAGCUGAUCAGGGUUUACAUAGGAUGCGACAAAAAGGUGGACUGGGAAGUCCUUAGGAAAUGGAUGUGUGAUUGACAAUGUAUUAUUUAUUUGCAACAGUUGUAAAAAUGCAUAAAUAUUUUUUUAAAAAUCAUUUCCUCCCCCAGACACAUUACUAAUCAACACAAAAACAACAAAAGGGGAUGACACCCUUGUCUUUGGUGUAUUCCAGAAGAGUGAUCUGCAGCAGCACUGGUUACGAGUCCAUGAGCUGGGAGUGUCCUCAAAAACUCACAGAUCUCUCCAACAAACUCUUCUAAAUUACCGGUAUACUGAAGCUUGUCACCACCCAGGCAUAGCAGGACCAUAAUCCAUUGGUUGACAGCUAUCAUCCAGAGCCUUUCUGCUUGUGCCUAAACAAACUGCAAUGUUCAAACAGCCACAUACCUGGAGGAGGGAACAAACUGCUGACAAACCAUUCAGGUUGAGUUGGUGCAGACUGAAUAACAACACAGUAAAUUGUACAUUCAUACACACUGUAUAUUUAUGUAACACUUUAAACAACAGUCUUGACAGACAUUAUCUCCAGUGGAUUUAUCAUGAAGCAUAAUCUAAUAUGAAGGUCUAGUAACUAGGGAUAUAGUUACAAAAUCCCUUCAAGAUCAAUGUGUGAAAAACCAAUCAGAUUUAAUUGUCUUUUUUUCUUUAGGAGGUCACUUUUUUGAUGGGAAAAGCCAAUGUGACAACCACCAUCUUAUUCUCUUUAAUAAAACCUCACCAUGUGAAUGCAAUUUGAUACUUUCUGCAUGAGUAGGGAUUGCAGAACCACAGGGGAGAGGAAAACAGAUGCAGAGGGUUAGAUGUGCAAACCCCCUAUUGACUAAAUGCACAGGAGUGUCUUAUGUCAUUGCUAUAAUGAUGGGGAUAUUUAUAGGGUUUGAAAUGUAGUUUUAUGUAAGAUAGCAUAUUUUCUCAAGCUAAAUGAAUGCCUUUAUUUAUAAUCAAGCCAUCUGUAUUUACAUUUCCUACUAACUUUCCUUAAGAUCUGAAUUAAUAAACUCCCUUACAUUUUCAAGUGGAACUUCUGUAGCUAAGAUCCAUAUUCACACUUCAGGUGUAAAUUGUAAAUAAAGAUACUUGUUUAGCUUUAGCAAAUAUGCUAACUGAACCUUAUAAGGUUGUUGCAAGGCUUUCUGAGAAGUGUUUUGAUGGCUUAGAAAAAGCACAACCAAAGAACUAAGUACAGUGGGUUAAGUAUUUAAUUCGUUCCGGAGGUCCG